Molecule: ribosomal RNA, 422 nt
Filed under: uncultured bacterium
Lineage: Bacteria
Description: bacterial SSU rRNA
Rfam family: Bacterial small subunit ribosomal RNA
Source: RNAcentral
UAGGGAAUAUUGGUCAAUGGGGGCAACCCUGAACCAGCCAUGCCGCGUGCAGGAAGACGGCUUUCUGAGUUGUAAACUGCUUUUAUAUAGGAAGAAAAGACCAUGCGUGGUUCUAUGACGGUACUAUAUGAAUAAGGACCGGCUAACUCCGUGCCAGCAGCCGCGGUAAUACGGAGGGUCCAAGCGUUGUCCGGAAUUAUUGGGUUUAAAGGGUGCGUAGGCGGAACUUUAAGUCAGAGCUGAAAUGUCUGGGCUUAACCGAGUCACUGGCUUUGAUACUGGAGUUCUUGAGUACUGAUGAGGCAGGCGGAAUUUAUGAUGUAGCGGUGAAAUGCAUAGAUAUCAUAAAGAACCCCAAUUGCGAAGGCAGCUUGCUGGGCAGUAACUGACGCUGAGGCACGAAAGUGUGGGUAGCGAACAGG